AGAGUUUGAUUAUGGCUCAGGAUGAACGCUGGCGGCGUGCCUAACACAUGCAAGUCGAGCGUGAACCCUUAGAAUGAAACUUCGGUCGAAUGAAGAGGGGAAAGCGGCGGACGGGUGAGUAACGCGUAGGCAACCUGCCCCGUACAGAGGGAUAGCCUCGGGAAACCGGGAUUAAAACCUCAUAGUACCAUGGUAUCACAUGAUGCAAUGGUCAAAAGAUUUAUCGGUAUGGGAUGGGCCUGCGUCUGAUUAGCUGGUUGGUGGGGUAACGGCCUACCAAGGCAACGAUCAGUAGCCGACCUGAGAGGGUAAUCGGCCACAUUGGAACUGAGACACGGUCCAAACUCCUACGGGAGGCAGCAGUGGGGAAUAUUGCACAAUGGGCGAAAGCCUGAAUGCAGCAACGCCGCGUGAGCGAAGAAGGCCUUUGGGUCGUAAAGCUCUGUCGGGAAGGAAGAUAAUGACGGUACUUCCCGAGGAAGCCCCGGCUAACUACGUGCCAGCAGCAGC
RNAcentral lists this ribosomal RNA (510 nucleotides) under uncultured bacterium. RNAcentral's name for it is "bacterial SSU rRNA". It matches the Rfam family "Bacterial small subunit ribosomal RNA", at positions 8 to 518 of the family's 1533-position model. The record is from RNAcentral.